AUGAACGCGCCAAAAAGUAACGUAUAGAUUCAAUGCGCUGUGAAUUUUCCUUGUGUCAAGUAGUGUUCUAAUAGGAUUUUGACGGCUUACAGAAUUGUAUUAUGUAGACCUACCAAAACUUGCUUAAGAAACCCUUUGUUUGGUAUUCAGAUAAUAUUUAUAUUUUUCACUGACAGAAAAUGCAAAAUAUUGAUAUAAAGUUAAUGAAAACAUUGAUAUACAAUAUGCAUUGGAUACCUUUGAAGUCAAGCUAUCAAAUGUAUUUCUAGUUAUUUCCUUGUUAUGAAUUCUUCGGUGUAAAAUUGCUAAGCCAGAGGCCACAGCCGUUGAAAAUAUCUUCCUGCAACCUGCCCACCAGAAACGUUUGCUCAGUUUUCACUCCUUCUAUCGAGUUAGCUCCCGUCCCCACCCCCUUCCCAGUCCUGGUGUCCUGUUCACAGGGCAGCAAGACGCACCCAUGAGCUCGUGGCUGGACUUGGCCCGGUGCCGCCCAGGAAGGUUCCAGCCAAACAUGAGGCCCAUGUGUGGUGCAUGAGAAAUGUUUUUGAAUGAAAAGGUAAAAGGCAGGUUGAGAUUGAGGAGAGACUGUUACCCGCUUCCCACUCUGCGCUGAGAAGGGAGAAGGAGGUGACAGCGGAACGGAGCCCUAGGAGGAACGGGAACGCGUCGUGUUCCCGAUGGGACCAGCCAGCAGGUGCAGUCAGGAAACGGGACCCCUGAGCCCCCCAGUGCCUGUGCCCGCCUGCUCUGUGUUCUCAGCCGGGGAGGGGGUGGACAUACGUGGUCUCUAAGGCCCACGUUCACUCAUUUCAUCUUCGCGUCACAGUCCAAGGAAGAUGAUGAAAUCAUGGACUAGUGAUCCAUAAACAUUUUCAAACUCGGAGCCCUGUAGCUGCUGGGCCAGGGCCGAUGUGCGAGGCUUUUAGGUGUUGCCGAGAAGGGCCCACGGCCCUGAUGUCCCUGCCCCCUGGGGUGGGGGGCUCCCGGCACUGAGGGGCUUUAGCCCCUACAUGACCUGGGGGCGAAGGCACUGGUUCCCACCCCGAGUGUGUGCUUCACUGUGAAGCCAGUCACGGGUGUUGGCGCCACUGCCACGCUUUGCGAUGGCCAAGGACCUGGGUCUGAUUUUACGAUCACGUCACUGCUGUACGUGUUGUUUACCGAAGGCCAGACGUACCUGGUUUAUGGUUUACAUUUUCCCUGGCUGCACUGGCAUAAACUGCGGACACAUUUAUGUGAAUGUAAACCAUAUGCGUCUCAGGUUUAAUACGUUUUAAAAUGUUGGAUCUUUUAACAGAUGCAUGCCUGUGUCUCCUGAUAACUCAUCAGUGUCUUAAUUUUGGGGAAGGCUCCUGGAGGCUCUGAGAGGGUUGUAAGGACACACUGGAAACUGGGAAGCCAGGCCCCCAGCAGGUCGGAGGGGAGGCCGUCUGCCUUUGGACCCCCAGGGUGGAGAGCCCCGAUCUGCAGAGCUGGGACAUUCUUUCUCAGGCAUAGUUCUAGUGACAGUGCAGGUUAAUGCAUAUGACCCCGGGUAGGAGUUCCUGUUGAGGCUCAGCGGGUUAAGAACCUGACAUAGUAUCCAUGAGGAUGUGGUUUGAUCCCUGACCUUGCUCGGUGGGUUAAGGAUCUGGCGUUGCUGCAAGCUGCAGCAUAGGUCACAGAUACACCUCAGACCCUGUGUUGCUUGUGGCUGUGGUGUAGGCUGGCAGCUGCAGCUCCAAUUUGACCCCUGGCCCGGGGAACUUCCAUAUGCUGCAGGUGCAGUCCUAAUAAGGAAAACAAAACAAAACAAAACACCAAAAAACCCCAUGCGGGGUAGGUUCUUAGAGGCAUUCUACAGGUGUGAAAAGGUUGAUCUGUAGUUGUUGCUUUAAUUGAGUCCUUGACUAUGGUUUUCUCCUUUAAACCAAGAAGUGGAUGUAUUACAGGUCAUUCUCAUACCAAGGCCUCAUCUCUGGUCGAUGCUUCAAGUAUAGCUCGGCACCAAGCAGCCCAAACCCAGAGCCCCUCCACCCCCACUCGGUUCUCCCAGGGUCUGUGAGUGGUGAGCUGGCAGGGCCAUGCUCCUGCCCACAAACCGCACCCCACAGCCCUUCUCUCUUCCCUGAGAACAUCCAUCAUACACCACCUGGCCAUGUGCUGCCCGUCAGGGGGAGUUCGAGAUCAAGCUGUUACCCAGAUCUCAUAAGAUCCCGUGGGAGGCCGGGCUCAGACUCGCCAGAAGUGCCCCAGGGUCAGCCUUGACUCCAGCCUGUGGAUGCGGCUCUCACUGGCAUUUGCUGGAGGAAGCGCGCGUUGAUGCUCAGUUUGGAAACUUCUGACAUAAGAGUGGCCGAACUUCAAGAGAUGAUGCACUGUUGCUCCAGCAGGAAGAUGCCAGAAGCCGAAACACUGGAUGGAUCUGGAAAGGCUCUGCCGAGCUUUCCAUCUUGUAGCGAAUGGGACCUAACCUUUAGAUCGACCUUCUCCAGACUAAAAUGGGAUGAAAAAAAAAGCAAACCGUAUCAAGAGAAGCCCGGGUGAGUGGAGCCUAUAACAAAUGUGCUAUUGGAGCCUAAAGAAACUUCCAGCCCAGAGUGUAUUCUGUCUGCUUUUAUCACUUAAAGAAGCAUGAAAGACGGGAACUCUGAAACCUUUAGAAAGUGCUGGAUAAAGAGCAGAGGAUUACUGAUGGCUGUGAUAUUAUUGCCAGGGAUCAAUAUGGCAGUCGCAGUUCAAUAAAAAGAAAUUGGCAACCUCUGCUGCCCUGAGAGAUCGCCGCACGCUCUUUCCUGGGUCCUAGUCCCGACACUGCCGAGAUCUUUCACCACCCCGCCGCGGGGGCCCUGGCAGGGGAGGCAUCCCGCAGCCGUUGGCUUGAAGGGGUCUGGAUGGGGCUCUUGCUUGGACCACGCAUCACAGCCGAGAGCAUCCUUAUUCAGGGAACGUGGUCCCAGGAGCCCCACGCGGGAGCUGCUGUGUCCAGUUAAUCAUUUUCUGAUCUGUUUCCCUUGUGAAAUUCAUUACUUUUCAUGGAAACAAAUAUCUGUCAAAAUAUCACAUUAGCCUGGCACUGGAAGAUUCUUAUAUCCUCAGCAUUAAUGACCUUUUUCCGCUGAAGGAGAGCUGAUCAACCUCUCUGAGGAUGCCUUCUGGAUCGUGGGGCUGUUCUCUUGUCCUCAGGUGGUACAUACCCUUAAUUGGUUCAGGAGGCCCUGCUGCUGGGCCCCAACCAGGGGGCCGGUGCGGAGGAGCCAGCACAAGCUCGAAUGCACUUUUCAGGGCAGAUAAAGUCUUCAGAUGAGAGGCAAAACAUCGUGUUACCGCUCGUAAAAAGUGCCAGGUCUUUAAUCUAUGGCUCCACUAACAUGUUCAUUAGAGAACCGGCUGAGACAGAGAGCGUGGGCUUUUGCUGCUGCAGUUGGAUAUUUGUCUCAUAUUUCAUUAGCCGGAAAGUGUGGAAGAGGCCCAGGUCAGAGCAGUUUGGAGAUGAGCCCCCGAACUGGUUUGGCUCGACGCCUGCCCUGGCUCGGGAAGAGGCAGGGGGAUCUGGGUCCAGCCCAAGUUUCUGCCACUGUCUUCUUCUUCCUGCCCCCACCCCGCCCCCCUGCCCCCCGCCCGCUCCACCUCCACGAAGGCCUCCCCCACCCAGAAGGUGGAGCAGCCCAGAAAGGAGAGAUGUGCCCAGGACCGGCCACCAAGCGUCUUGCUUGGUUCUCAGGGUAACACCCGCUCCUUGACUGUUGAAUGAUAACAUCCGGCCACUUAUGAAGCUGAACAGAAGAGGCCUCAGCUCUCCAUCUGAAGUCCUUUGGUCAUGAAAGCCCCGUGUCCGUGGGCUCCAAGCCUGGGGGGCUGUUGGUGUGUCUGGACACCUUCCCUCUCUACAGUGACUGAGGUCCUGGUCCCCCCAGACACUGCCCCCCUCCUCCCCGCUGGCGCCCCAUUCAGCCCACUUUCCCCACUCGGUCCAUUCCUUCUCACACCCCUGUCACCAAGUCACUCUCAAGAGCGCAGCCGUGCCUGUUCCUCGAGGCUGCUGCCGCAACGAAAGCAAUUGCGGACUUGAUUUAACCAAUACGUAGGCUAAGCCACAAAUUUACAGUCAAACUGUUUUCUCUCUGUCUCAUAAACACAUUUCAAUUGAAAAGCACAAUUUCAGACUGGAGCUAAGGCAGACCAUCCAGCUGUACUUAAAUGGAAAUAAAUAGAAACAAAGCACGAGCACUCGCGGGCCGGAGCGAGGCGUCAAAUCCAUUCUGGGGUCCGAGGCGGAGAGUGUAAUUGAUGCCGCCCUGCAGACAGACACAGUUCACCGUCUAACCUGGAGCCACACGGACUGGCGGCAGUGGAGGGAAUGGACCUGGCUUCCCCGGAGUUGUCCUGAUGGGGCGGCUGCUUGUGGCCCAGCCAGUGAUGAUUCCAGAUCAUUCUGGCAAAGGUGAAAGCGGAGAGGUUUUAUACUGAGUCAUGGCCCCAGCUGCCUUCCAGGGCCUGCCUGGGGGUCUGGUGGGGGCCUGGCUCUACUGUUCAGGCCAGUGUGGUCCGGGUUGGGGUGAAAUGUUUGAAGUAAUUAUUAAUUCAUUUGUUCAUAAGUAUUGUUUAGACCAGGCCUUGUGCAAGGCGCAGGGACAGACUAUGAGCAAGACAGACCUUGUGAAGAAUAGAGCCGGGGGGUGGGGGCAGCCAGCGGUCAAGUCAGGAUCAGUUUUGACUCUGUUUCUAUUAAAGCACAGUUGAUUUACAGGGUUGCGCCAGUUUCCACUAGACAGCACGGGGGCCCAGUCACACGUGUACAUACAUUCUUUUUCUCCCAUUAUCUUCCGUCACGCUCUGUCCCAGGAGACUGGAUAGAGUUCCCUGUGCUGUUCAGCAGGACCUCAUGGCUUAUCAAUUCUAAAGGUAAAAAUUUGCAUCUACGAACCCCAAACUCCCCGUCCCUCCCCCUCCCUCCCCCUUGGCAGACACACGUCUGUUCUCUACGUCCCUGAGCCUGCUGCUGUUCGGGAGACAGGUUCAUUUGUGCCCUACCUCAGAUUUUUUAAAAGAUCCCUCUGCUGAGUUGGGAGUUACAGGGGUGGAUGAGGACAAUCAGACGGAGAGGGGGGCAGUCACAGGGACAGGGUGGUGGCAGCUGGGACCCGAACCGUAACGGGAGUCUGGAAGAGACUGAGGCGGGGCUUCUCCAGGGCUCGGCACAGCGUGACCUUCGGGUGGUGGGUGAGGGAGAGACGGGAGUUUGGGGUGAAUUUUAGAGUCCUGGUUUGUCCAGCUCCUUGGGAGGUGGCUCCAGUUCCUAAGGAAAGGGAUCGGGGAGGACCGGGCUGGAGAGAAGAUCGCUGCGUGUGAGCAUGUGUGGCCCCGGGGCGAAGAGAUGCCCGCUGGGCUGUGAGGGGCACGUGGUCUGGGCGCAGAGGAGUCUGGGCUUACUUACGAAUUUAUCAUGAGCCUGGACCCAGAGGAGAAUUCCUGGAGACAGGGUACAGGUGGAGAGAAUAGGCUUGAGAGUCUUGGAUGCCUGGCGAUGGAGGCAGGGCAGCUGAGAGUCCAGGAAGGGGGGGGCUCUUGCCUCCACCCAGGAGGCUUCACAGACGGGGGUCUGGUCUGGGUGCAAAGGACCCUGAAGAAAACCCAUCGGAUGUCACCGUCGCUGGGGAUUUUAAGGAUGACUGCUCAGCUGGAGCGAUGCAGGCCCGAGGCCGAGGGAGCCAGUCGGGUGGCAACAUGUCGUGAAGAAAAGGAGACGUGCAGUAAAGAGGAGGCUGCUGGCGUUCGGCUAAAAUUGAGGCAAAGCAGUUUAAUGUCUAUCAUCACCCCUAACGCAGGAAACUUCGGAUGGAGGAAAGCUUCACCCACUCGCAGCGGAAGCUCGCCCAUCUCAGAAGGUCCCGUCCUCUGAGAACAUGCAGCCCAGCCGUCCAUGCAUGUGCCAUGCUCACCUUGGGGACAGAACCAGGGCCAAGGGGCAGGAGUCUCUGGGGACAUAGAAGAGAAAGAUAAAAAUGUGAGGGGAAGAAAAGGGGGGAGUUCCCAUCGUGGCUCAGUGGUAAUGAACUCGACUAGGAUCCAUGAAGAUGCAGGUUCGAUCCCUGGCCUUGCUCAGUGGGUCAGGGAUCCAGGGUUGCCGUGAGCUGUGGUGUAGGUCACAGACGUGGCUCAGAUCCUGAGUUGCUGUGGCUGUGCUGUAGGCUGGCAGCUGUAGCUCUGAUUCGACCCCUAGCU
RNAcentral lists this long non-coding RNA (6204 nucleotides) under Sus scrofa (pig). RNAcentral describes it as "lncRNA (ENSSSCG00000060847.1)". Lineage: Eukaryota; Metazoa; Chordata; Mammalia; Artiodactyla; Suidae. The record is from RNAcentral.